This 1420-nucleotide ribosomal RNA is filed under the name Salmonella enterica subsp. enterica serovar Agama. RNAcentral describes it as "partial 23S ribosomal RNA". It matches the Rfam family "Bacterial large subunit ribosomal RNA", at positions 200 to 1547 of the family's 2925-position model. The record is from RNAcentral. Lineage: Bacteria; Pseudomonadati; Pseudomonadota; Gammaproteobacteria; Enterobacterales; Enterobacteriaceae.
AUCUAAGUACCCCGAGGAAAAGAAAUCAACCGAGAUUCCCCCAGUAGCGGCGAGCGAACGGGGAGGAGCCCAGAGCCUGAAUCAGCAUGUGUGUUAGUGGAAGCGUCUGGAAAGGCGCGCGAUACAGGGUGACAGCCCCGUACACAAAAGCGCAUGUGCUGUGAGCUCGAUGAGUAGGGCGGGACACGUGGUAUCCUGUCUGAAUAUGGGGGGACCAUCCUCCAAGGCUAAAUACUCCUGACUGACCGAUAGUGAACCAGUACCGUGAGGGAAAGGCGAAAAGAACCCCGGCGAGGGGAGUGAAAAAGAACCUGAAACCGUGUACGUACAAGCAGUGGGAGCCCCACCACCAAAGCGUUUCGCUUUGUGUGGUGCACAAAGAAGCGUAACGACAGCACUGAAUGACGGUUAACGGAGCGCAAGCGACGUUCAACAUACAAAGUCAAGCAGUGGAGCGCUUUGGGGUGGGGUGACUGCGUACCUUUUGUAUAAUGGGUCAGCGACUUAUAUUCUGUAGCAAGGUUAACCGUAUAGGGGAGCCGCAGGGAAACCGAGUCUUAAUUGGGCGUUAAGUUGCAGGGUAUAGACCCGAAACCCGGUGAUCUAGCCAUGGGCAGGUUGAAGGUUGGGUAACACUAACUGGAGGACCGAACCGACUAAUGUUGAAAAAUUAGCGGAUGACCUGUGGCUGGGGGUGAAAGGCCAAUCAAACCGGGAGAUAGCUGGUUCUCCCCGAAAGCUAUUUAGGUAGCGCCUCGUGAAUUCAUCUCCGGGGGUAGAGCACUGUUUCGGCUAGGGGGCCAUCCCGGCUUACCAACCCGAUGCAAACUGCGAAUACCGGAGAAUGUUAUCACGGGAGACACACGGCGGGUGCUAACGUCCGUCGUGAAGAGGGAAACAACCCAGACCGCCAGCUAAGGUCCCAAAGUCAUGGUUAAGUGGGAAACGAUGUGGGAAGGCCCAGACAGCCAGGAUGUUGGCUUAGAAGCAGCCAUCAUUUAAAGAAAGCGUAAUAGCUCACUGGUCGAGUCGGCCUGCGCGGAAGAUGUAACGGGGCUAAACCAUGCACCGAAGCUGCGGCAGCGACGCUGAUGCGUUGUUGGGUAGGGGAGCGUUCUGUAAGCCUGCGAAGGUGGCCUGUGAGGGUUGCUGGAGGUAUCAGAAGUGCGAAUGCUGACAUAAGUAACGAUAAAGCGGGUGAAAAGCCCGCUCGCCGGAAGACCAAGGGUUCCUGUCCAACGUUAAUCGGGGCAGGGUGAGUCGACCCCUAAGGCGAGGCCGAAAGGCGUAGUCGAUGGGAAACGGGUUAAUAUUCCCGUACUUGGUGUUACUGCGAAGGGGGGACGGAGAAGGCUAUGUUGGCCGGGCGACGGUUGUCCCGGUUUAAGCGUGUAGGUGUGUGUUCCAGGUAAAUCCGGUU